AACGAACGCUGGCGGCAUGCCUAACACAUGCAAGUCGAACGAGACCUUCGGGUCUAGUGGCGCACGGGUGCGUAACGCGUGGGAACCUGCCCUUAGGUUCGGAAUAACUCCCCGAAAGGGGUGCUAAUACCGGAUAAUUUCUUCGGACCAAAGAUUUAUCGCCUCUGGAUGGGCCCGCGUUGGAUUAGCUAGUUGGUAGGGUAAAAGCCUACCAAGGCGACGAUCCAUAGCUGGUCUGAGAGGAUGAUCAGCCACACUGGGACUGAGACACGGCCCAGACUCCUACGGGAGGCAGCAGUGGGGAAUAAUGGACAAUGGGCGAAAGCCUGAGCCAGCAAUGCCGCGUGAGUGAUGAAGGCCUUAGGGUUGUAAAGCUCUUUUACCCGGGAUGAUAAUGACAGUACCGGGAGAAUAAGCUCCGGCUAACUCCGU
This 432-nucleotide ribosomal RNA is filed under the name uncultured bacterium. RNAcentral describes it as "partial 16S ribosomal RNA". It matches the Rfam family "Bacterial small subunit ribosomal RNA", at positions 29 to 506 of the family's 1533-position model. The record is from RNAcentral.